GUGAGAGACACAGAGAGAGAUAGACACUGGGCCUUAUAUGCUCUUUUAAAACUUCAAGGUCCACCCCCAGUAAUGCACUUCCUUCAAAAGACCCCACCUCCUAAUCCUUGUAAUCUUCCUCAAACCAGUUCUGGGCUCUAGUGACUAGACAUUCAAAUAUAUGAGCCUAUGGGAACCAUUCUCAUUCAAACCACUAAACAUAGCCAAAUUCUUAGUUAUUUUAGACAGUAAAGGGGCUUCUAGAAUGUUAAGAAUGUUGAAAAUCAAACUGCUUCAAAGGAAAGUAAAAAAAAAAAAAAAAAAAAAAAAGAAAAACUGUGGAAGUAGCCAGCCUUGUACGACUGCAAAAGCAGCCUCGCUGACUGGAUUUUUUUUUUUUUUAAAGAUUUAUUUAUAUGAGUACACUGUGGCUGUCUCAGACACACCAGAAGAGGGCAUCAGAUCCCAUUACAGAUGGUUGUGAGCCACCAUGUGGUUGCUUUAAGAUUUAUGUAUAUGAGUACACUGUGGCUGUCUCAGACACACCAGAAGAGGGCAUCAGAUCCCAUUACAGAUGGUUGUGAGCCACCAUGUGGUUGCUGGGAAUUGAACUCAGGACCUUUGGAUAAGAAACCAGUGUUCUUAACUGCUGAGCCAUCUCUCCAGUUAGCUAACUGGAUUCUUAAGGAUGAUUCUAGCAAAUUAUAAGAAUAAAUAGUAAAAAGAGGCAGGGACAUAUUUGUUAACAAUAUAUUGAAAUGGGAGCUUUCAAGUCAAGGAGCCAAACAUAGUAACUAAAUCAUGACCAUCUGAUGCAAGAUGCAGUCAUAUCCAUGGUACUGAAAAUAACAUGAUGCUUGCUUGGAGUAUGAUGCUAUGUCACCCAAGUCACAGGAUGAUUAUUAAAAGAACACACACACCAAAAAACAUACUUAUCCUAAAGAGAUGGUGAGAUAUAACAUGCCUUAAAUUAUAUUAUAGAAUUUAAAUAACUAGCUUUCACAAUCAGUUUGUGUGUAAAAUGUCAUUUAAAGUGUUUUCAAAUGCAUUGCUCUUACAAUUUAUUUUCCUUUAACUCUUCUAUGAUAUUUAAAGCGUGCAUCUGCCACAUUGAUGAUUAAAUUAGCAGUUUAGAUAACUUGAGUCCCUUUCCCUUUAUAUUUGAGAUGAGGUCUAGAUAUGUAGUCCUGCCUGGCCUCCAAUUUGUAAUCCUCCUGCCUCAGCCUUGAGUGCUGGAAUUGAGUGUGUGCCACCUUGACCAGCCUUUUGUUUCCUUUUUAAUACUAAACCUUACAGUCAGGAUUUGGAGUUCUUACAUCAUAUAUAAUAUGUAAUAAACCAGGAUGAAUAUUGCAUAUUCAAUAUCUCCAGUUUUAAUAGUGGCAUUGAAGUGGUUCUGGACCAAAAGAAGUCAGUUUGUGAAUGUUGUCUGUUAAGUAUUACAAAAUAACAAGGAAAAAAAAACAAAAUAACAAGGGUUAGAAGUUCAAAGUAAAAAACAGACAUCUUUGAUUUCUGAUUAAGAAAAAGCACUCUACAUCUUUUUUUUUUAAGUUUUCUAAGUUUGUUCCUUCUGAGAGAUUAAGUAAAAAACACCUUUAAAAUCAUGUCAGCCUGCUUAGAAUGUACAUGUUAAAAAGCAAUUUAAGAUGAAAAAACUAGCUUUACAGUGUGUACACUUUUUCUCUAAAAUAAACUUUUGUGGCUUUAGUGUCUUAGAAGGAGAGUCCUAACAUGAAAUGGUCAUCUCUUAGAUUUGGGAGGAAGGAAGCCACUGUUAACUGUGUAGUGUUACAGCAUAUUGCACAAAAGGUUUUGGUUUUGGUCUGGUGUAGCUUUGGCUGUCCUGAAAUGAAACACUCACUAUAUAAACCACACUUGCCUCACAGAGAUCCUCCUGCCUCUGUCUCCUGAAUGUUGGGACAAAAGUAUGUGCCACCCCUACCCAGCGAGAACAGUUUUUAAUGAAAACUGAGCUAGAUUGUCCAGUUCUGGUAAACAGUCUUCCAGUCAUCUCACAACCAUUAUUACAACCAUGUACAAAGGGACUCCACUCCACUGUCCCUGUACAAGGACUUUUGACAGUUUAGUGCUUAGUAACUAGUCUUAGUUUUCUUCCUUUUAGAAAAACUGUACAUUUGAUCUCUCAAUUCUGUUUGCAAAGCAGUGCAGAAAACUAUAAUCAAAUGUGACAUGUCUAUAAAAUAAUUUUGACAUAACAGACAUGAACAGACAUAAGAACGGCUUCCAAUGUUAAUUGAUAAUCUAUAAAUAUCAUUUUGGAAUUUGACUGGUUCACAAAUAUAUCCACAAAAUGUUUGCAUAUGGAAUAAUAGAAGCAUAUAAAACAUUGUAUGUAAAUUGCAUCUUCAUACUAGCAAACAAGUUAACAAAUGAUAAUAAAUGCAAUUCAGUUUUGGAUGUUGGUCCACAUUGUCAAGAAGUCAUGUAAUAAUAAUAAAUACAUAUUCUACCUGCUACUUGAACCAUGAGUUUUGCACACCAGAGGUUUAAUGUUUAAGUGUUGGACUUUACUCACUGUAUGAAACACUGAUGACAAGUCACCAAAUCUUCUUAAAUAAGGAACUUGCAAAACAAUGGGGCUUUUAAGUAAUUUUCAGACACUUGAUUCUGAAGAGUCAUAUGGUCAUUUUUGAGUUUUAGAUGUGGUAAUGGACAAAAGCUUGAGAGUGAAGUAAAGCUUUGGAACUUCUCAGGUUGAGAAGAAUUUCUGCCCAGGUCCUCUGUUUAGGACCUGCUGCUCCUGGAGCUGGUGAGGUGGCUCAACCAACUUGCUCUGCAAGGCUGAGGAUCUGAGUCUACGCCCUAGAUCUCAUGAUGGAAGGAGUGAUACCAACUGUACAAAAUUGUCCUGACUGUGACAUGCAUGUGCAUGCAAACAUGCAUGUAAAAUAAAAAGGAACUGCUGUUCCUGGGGCUGGGGGAUGUCUCAUUAAAAUCCAAGUGCAAGUGUGUGGAUCCAGAGCACCCACUUAAAACAAAGCAAAACUAGGGUUAGUGGCACUGAGGAAAUGGACUCAUGAGAUCCCUAGAUCCCUACAGGUUUAGUGAGAGACCACAUCUCAAAGCCCGCUGUGGUAGUGUACGUCUUUAAUCCCAGUAUUUGGGAAGCAGAGGCAGGACGAAUUCUGUGUCUCAAGAUCAGUUCCGGAUACAAAAGUAACUGCUGUUCCUAAUAAAAUGUGUGUGUGUGUGUGUGUGUGUGUGUGUUCCUGAUAAAGGAACAUACUAAUAAAAAUAAUUGCUGUUCCUGAUAAAAAAAUAAAUAUAAUAUAUGCAAUAUUAAUCUUCUGGGGGGAUUAAGAUAGCUUGUAAAAAAAGGAUAUGUAUCCUCAAUCUAGAAAAACAUUUAUGUCAUACACUUUAAAUUUCCAAAUUAUCUCAGCCACAGAGUGGUGGUAGUGGUGCACUCCUUUAAUCCCAGCACUCCAGAGGCAGAGACAGAUCUCUUCACCUGCUUUACAGAACAAGUUCCAUGACAGCCAGAGCUACACAGAGAAACCCAGUCUCAAAGUCUCAAUGAAAUGCACAUAUUCUAAAAGUCUUAGAUGGUUAAGCUACAGUCAGCUGUUCAUGAGUUGAAAAUUUGAAAGGGUUUCUUAAAAAAAAAAAAAAGCUCUCUAGUUAGGUAAUAUGAGGAAGGAGAAUGUUUUAGAGGUAAGAAAGGACUGUUAUAAGCAUGUCUUUACUAACUUAUCUACAAAAUUUCCCCCUUUGGAUAAAGACAUAGAUUCAAGAUGGUUCACACAGCCCGGAAGUCUCACAGGCAGCAUGAUGUCAGCAGAGUGAGCACACUUUCCGCAGUGAUGCUUUGGCCACCUGUUUAAUCUCACUGUCAACAGGAUAAAACUGAUUUCCUUAGUGAUCAGAGAUGACAAGAAUAUAAAAUUAAUAGAAGAUAACAUAAACUAAAUUGUAAUCCAUUGCU
This 3928-nucleotide long non-coding RNA is filed under the name Mus musculus (house mouse). RNAcentral's name for it is "long non-coding RNA chr3:40793638-40797566". The record is from RNAcentral. Lineage: Eukaryota; Metazoa; Chordata; Mammalia; Rodentia; Muridae.